RNAcentral lists this ribosomal RNA (253 nucleotides) under uncultured bacterium. Its description in RNAcentral is "partial 16S ribosomal RNA". It matches the Rfam family "Bacterial small subunit ribosomal RNA", at positions 524 to 776 of the family's 1533-position model. The record is from RNAcentral.
UACGAAGGGGGCUAGCGUUGCUCGGAAUCACUGGGGGUAAGGGGAACGAAGGCGGCUUUUUAAGUCGGGGGUGAAAUCCUGGAGCUCAACUCCAGAACUGCCUUUGAUACUGAGAAGCUUGAGUCCGGGAGAGGUGAGUGGAACUGCGAGUGUAGAGGUGAAAUUCGUAGAUAUUCGCAAGAACACCAGUGGCGAAGGCGGCUCACUGGCCCGGUACUGACGCUGAGGUGCGAAAGCGUGGGGAGCAAACAGG